CUCAAUGAUGAACGACCUGAUAGGGACAUCCGAUGCAAAGCAGAUGAUGUUGCCAGGAAACGAGUAUUUUAGUAGAUGCCUCGCAUAUCUGAAA
RNAcentral lists this small nucleolar RNA (94 nucleotides) under Aspergillus aculeatus ATCC 16872. Its description in RNAcentral is "A. fumigatus snoRNA Afu_335". It matches the Rfam family "A. fumigatus snoRNA Afu_335". RNAcentral also lists the same sequence under 1 other name. The record is from Rfam by way of RNAcentral. Lineage: Eukaryota; Fungi; Ascomycota; Eurotiomycetes; Eurotiales; Aspergillaceae.